This 239-nucleotide long non-coding RNA is filed under the name Lathyrus oleraceus (garden pea). RNAcentral describes it as "Pisum sativum (pea) long non-coding RNA (PSAT_LNC001202)". Lineage: Eukaryota; Viridiplantae; Streptophyta; Magnoliopsida; Fabales; Fabaceae. The record is from RNAcentral.
GGAGACUUGAGAAAAAUUCACAAGAUCGAUAUCGUCUUAACACCGUAAGUCUCCUGCAUAUGGAAAUUGAUUCGAAUUCUUAUUAUGUUUUAGCCUUAAAUUCUCAUUCUCUGGCAGCUCUUGAGUAGUUUAUUUCAGCAGUCAGCACCAUCUCACACACACUCUACGCAGGGAAGCCGAUGAAUAUAAGUGAGUGUUCCGAAAAAGAAAAAAAAAGAGAAAGAAAAGGGAAUGCACCU